UACAGAGGAUGCAAGCGUUAUCCGGAAUGAUUGGGCGUAAAGCGUCUGUAGGUGGCUUUUUAAGUCCGCCGUCAAAUCCCAGGGCUCAACUCUGGACAGGCGGUGGAAACUACCAAGCUAGAGUGCGGUAGAGGAUGGUGGAAUUCCCGGUGUAGCGGUGAAAUGCGUAGAGAUCGGGAGGAACACCCGUGGCGAAGGCGGCCAUCUGGACCAGCACUGACGCUGAUACGCGAAAGCGUGGGGAGCGAACCGG
Molecule: ribosomal RNA, 253 nt
Filed under: uncultured bacterium
Lineage: Bacteria
Description: partial 16S ribosomal RNA
Rfam family: Bacterial small subunit ribosomal RNA
Source: RNAcentral